RNAcentral lists this non-coding RNA (463 nucleotides) under Pongo abelii (Sumatran orangutan). The record is from RNAcentral. Lineage: Eukaryota; Metazoa; Chordata; Mammalia; Primates; Hominidae.
CUACCUGCAAACUUAUGCUGGGGAAGAAAAAUCAAAUGGAUUUUUUUAAGGAGCAAACUGAGAUAAUAAGAGCACCACUUAUUUAAAAAGAUUAUGCAGGUUUUUCCAGCAUAUCCAGGAUGACACUUGCACUUGUUUGGCCCGAUACAUUCACCAUGUUUGCAUCGUGGUUGGCACACAGCUGUGAAAAGAAGAUGGCAUGCAUUAUUUCUAGGUCAACGAAACACCAAUCAUAUAGCACUGAUGUCGUGUACUAGAGUUUAAUAAUAAAAGAAAAAAAACUAGAACUUACAACAAAGUAGCCAAAGUAUACAAAAUCAGUUUCCUAUAACCACUCUGUAAGCUACACACACUCACGUGUUAUGUAUGUGUAUGUGUGUGUAUCAGUUGGGGAUGAAAACAAUUUUAAAUUCAAGGAAAAUACUCAAAUAGUCAAAUAAAAGAAAAACUAGGUAAAACUAUG